GGGGAAUAUUGGACAAUGGGGGCAACCCUGAUCCAGCCAUGCCGCGUGAAUGAUGAAGGCCUUCGGGUUGUAAAGUUCUUUUGGUGGGGACGAUGAUGACGGUACCCACAGAAUAAGCUCCGGCUAACUUCGUGCCAGCAGCCGCGGUAAUACGAAGGGAGCUAGCGUUGUUCGGAAUUACUGGGCGUAAAGGGUGCGUAGGCGGUUAGACAAGUCAGAUGUGAAAGCCCCGGGCUCAACCUGGGAACUGCGUUUGAUACUGUUUUACUAGAAUUCGGUAGAGGUGAGUGGAAUUUCCAGUGUAGAGGUGAAAUUCGUAGAUAUUGGAAAGAACACCGGUGGCGAAGGCGGCUCACUGGACCGACAUUGACGCUGAGGCACGAAAGCGUGGGGAGCAAAC
This 400-nucleotide ribosomal RNA is filed under the name uncultured bacterium. RNAcentral describes it as "bacterial SSU rRNA". It matches the Rfam family "Bacterial small subunit ribosomal RNA", at positions 356 to 773 of the family's 1533-position model. The record is from RNAcentral.